UACGUAGGGGGCGAGCGUUGUCCGGAAUGAUUGGGCGUAAAGGGCGCGUAGGCGGCUUUGCAAGUCAGUAGUGGAAGUCCAUUUUUCAAGGAUGGAAGUGCUACAGAAACUGCGGAGCUUGAGUGCAGGAGAGGUUAUCGGAAUUCCCGGUGUAGCGGUGAAAUGCGUAGAGAUCGGGAGGAACACCAGUGGCGAAGGCGGGUAACUGGACUGCAACUGACGCUGAGGCGCGAAAGUGUGGGGAGCAAACAGGAUUAGAUACCCGUGUA
RNAcentral lists this ribosomal RNA (269 nucleotides) under uncultured prokaryote. RNAcentral's name for it is "partial 16S ribosomal RNA". It matches the Rfam family "Bacterial small subunit ribosomal RNA", at positions 524 to 792 of the family's 1533-position model. The record is from RNAcentral.